RNAcentral lists this ribosomal RNA (253 nucleotides) under uncultured bacterium. RNAcentral's name for it is "partial 16S ribosomal RNA". It matches the Rfam family "Bacterial small subunit ribosomal RNA", at positions 524 to 776 of the family's 1533-position model. The record is from RNAcentral.
UACGUAGGGUGCAGGCGUUAAUCGGAAUUACUGGGCGUAAAGCGUGCGCAGGCGGUGAUGUAAGACAGGGGGGAAAUCCCCGGGCUUAACCUGGGAACUGCAUUUGUGACUGCAUCGCUGGAGUGCGGCAGAGGGGGAUGGAAUUCCGCGUGUAGCAGUGAAAUGCGUAGAUAUGCGGAGGAACACCGAUGGCGAAGGCAAUCCCCUGGGCCUGCACUGACGCUCAUGCACGAAAGCGUGGGGAGCAAACAGG